This 9356-nucleotide long non-coding RNA is filed under the name Ananas comosus (pineapple). RNAcentral's name for it is "long non-coding RNA (ACOM_LNC036546)". Lineage: Eukaryota; Viridiplantae; Streptophyta; Magnoliopsida; Poales; Bromeliaceae. The record is from RNAcentral.
AUCAAGAAAUCUUGGAGAAAGAACAAGUUGCUUACCUUCAAGAAACUUCAAUCUAGGUUCAAAACCCUCUAGGUUCCAAGAUCUUUCCUCAACGAUGGCCCAAAUCCAAGCUCCAAGCCACCAAAAUGAAGAAAGGAGGAUGUAGGUGAAGUUCCAAACCUCCAACAAGCUCUCUCCUUCUUCUUCUUCCUCUCCUUCUUCUUCUUCUCUCUCUAGGAGCAAAGAAAAUGGUGGAAUGAGGGAGAAGAGCAGAGGAAGUAGCCAUAUAUGCCCUCUAGUGUAACAAAAUCCAAAGAGACCCCUAAAAAAUCUAAUAUUGCAUCAGCCCGGUCUGGGCAAUUUUCGCCCAGAGGGACCGGUCUCUCCCUACAUGGGACCGGUCUCUCAUGGCAAACCCGAAAAACCAUCGUUCGGGAACCGGUCUCUCCCCGCGCGGGACCGGUUGCCUCGUCGGCUGCGCAACACUGCUCACUGGGGGACCGAUCUCUCCAAUCAGGGACCAGUCCCCGAGAGUAAAAACUCUCAGGACUCGUCCAGAACUCAGGUUUUCGAACUUUUUAGGUCGGAAAACAUUCCACGACCCUCCACCAAGUGUGGAAAAGCCCGAAACACAUCCAAUCACUCGAACCUCGCAAUUUGUAAAGGUCCAGUGUAUCACAUUCACCCCUCCUAAAAAGAAUUUUCGUCCGUGAAACUCAAAGAGUAAAGUACCUCAAGCCUCAAUCUGAAAAGUAUGGGGAUAGCGCUCCCGCAGCGCGCUCUCCAACUCCCAAGUGGCCUCGCACUCGUCGUGAUUGCUCCAAAGCACCUUCAGGUAGGGAAUCCCACGGUUCCGCAGCCUCUUUACCUCGCGAGCCAAAAUCAUCAAAGGUUGCUCUUCAAAGCUCAGAUCAUCCCUCAGCUCCACUGGUGUAGCGUCCAACACGUGAGCCGGAUCAUGGAUGUACCUCCGAAGGACCGAUACAUGAAACACAUUGUGCACACCCGAUAGGUUUGGCGGUAGAGCAAGUCGAUACGCUAUCGAGCCUACACGCUCCAAAAUCUCAUACGGUCCAAUGUAUCGGGGGCUCAGCUUACCCCGAAUUCCAAAUCUUCUAAUCCCCCUGGUCGGCGAGACUUUCAAGAAGACGUGAUCACCGAUCUGAAACUCCAAGUCUCGUCGACGCCUGUCAGCAUAACUCUUUUGCCCACUCUGGGCUGCCAACAGUCGCUCCCGAGCAAUGCGAACCUUGUACUCAGCUUCCUGGAGCACAUCUGGGCCUAAAGGCAAUCUCUCGCCAACCUCACUCCAGUGAAUUGGCGAUCUACACUUCCGUCCAUAGAGCGCCUCGAACGGUGCCAUCUUGAUGCUUGCUUGAUAACUGUUGUUAUAAGCAAACUCUGUCAUCGGUAGAUGCUGCGACCAUUCUCCCUAGAAGUCAAUCACACAGGCUCGAAGCAUGUCCUCAAGUGUCUGUAUAGUGCGCUCUGACUGCCCAUCACUCUGAGGGUAGAAAGCUGCACUGAAGUCCAUGCACGUGCCCAAGGCAUCUUGUAAACUUCUUCAAAAGUGAGAUACAAAACGGUGGUCUCGAUCUGAUACUAUGGAAGUAGGUACCCCGUGCAGGCGCACAAUCUCAUCUAAAUAUACUUGUGCGAGUCUCUCACCAGUUUAAGUAGUGUGGAUAGGUAUGAAAUGUGCCAAUUUCGUCAAUCUAUCCACGAUCAUCACCCAUAUAGCAUCAUGCCCGGCCUGCGAGCGGGGUAAUCUCAUCACAAAGUCCAUGGUGAUCUUCUCCUAUUUCCCUGCGGGGACUCAAUGCUUAGCUUUAACCUGUUGGCAAGUUAGACAUCUAGCAACAAACUCACCAACGUCUAUCUUCAUCCCGGGCCACCAAUAAAGCAACUUUAAGUCCUUAUACAUCUUGGUGCCUCCCGGAUGUAUAGCAUACGGUGCUCAGUGUGCCUCUUGAAGAAUUUCUUCUUUAAGUGUCAAUUCCGCCGGUACACAGAUCCGUCCACGGAAACGCAUCAGUCCAACACCGUCCUCAGAAAAGUCACCGGUGCAACCAUCAAGCAUCUUAGCUCGAAUCUUUUGCAACUCCGCAUCGGAGACUUGCUUUUCUUUAAUCCUUUCCACUAGUGUAGGUUGCACCACCAAAGUCAAAAGUCUCAAAGGUGUAUCAGGAGCCACCACCUCCAACUCCAACUUGCUUCAUCUGCUCGAUCAACGGCGGUUGAGUAACCACAAGUAUCGCUAAGUUUUCUGUCGAUUUUCUGCUUAGCGCAUCCGCCACCACGUUAGCCUUGCCCAGGUGGUAAAGUAUCGUCAAAUCAUAAUCCUUGAGUAGCUCCAACCAUCUGCGCUGCCUCAGGUUCAACUCCUUCUGAGUGAAUAAAUACUUUAAACUCUUGUGAUCCGUAUAUACUUCGCACCGCUCACCGUAUAAGUAAUGGUGCCAUAGCUUCAAUGCAAAGACCACGGCCGCCAAUUCCAAAUCAUGAGUAGGAUAGUUUCUUUCAUAAUCCUUUAACUGGCGAGAUGCAUACGCUAUCACUUUCCCAUCCUGCAUCAAAACACAGCCUAAUCCAUUAAAGGAAGCAUCACUAUAAAUCACAUACCCUCCUGCGGCAGUUAGCAAGGUUAGGAUCGGGGCGGUCGUCAAUCUCUGCUUCAACUCUUGGAAGCUCCUUUUGCACGCAUCAUUCCAAACGAACUUGGUGCCUUUAUGCGUGAGCCUCGUGAGGGGAGUAGACAACUUUGCAAACCCCUCGACAAACCGUCGGUAGUAGUCUGCCAAACCAAUGAAGCUCCGUAUCUCGGUCACACUCGUAAGCCUCGGCCAAUCCUAGAUAGCUUCAAUUUUCCUAGGAUCCACGGCUAUACCUGAUCCGAAAAUCAUAUGGCCUAAAAACACCACCUCUCUAAGCCAAAACUCACACUUCUUCAAUUUGGCGUAGAGCUUCUUUUCCCGAAGCACUUGAAGUACAAGUCUCAAGUGUUCCUCGUGAUCCACAUCACUUCGGGAAUAGACCAAAAUGUCGUCGAUGAAUACUACGACGAACCUGUCUAGAUAAGGCUUGAAAACACGGUUCAUUAGAUCCAUAAAAGCUGCCGGGGUAUUAGUAAGCCCGAACGGCAUCACAGUAAACUCAUAAUGUCCAUACCGUGUUCUAAAAGCCGUCUUUGACACAACCUCCGGCUUGAUCUUCAAUUGGUGGUAUCCCGACUGCAAGUCGAUCUUGGAAUACACACUAGAUCCCUGGAGCUAAUCAAAUAAAUCAUCAAUCCUCGGUAAUGGAUACUUGUUCUUAAUCGUGACUUUGUUAAGUUCACGAUAGUCCACGCAUAAGCGAAGUGAUCCAUCCUUUUUCUUGACAAACAGGACAGGUGCUCCCCAAGGUGACACACUCGGUCUCACAAAACCCUUAUCCAAAAGAUUCUACAACUGUGCCUUCAGCUCUCUCAAUUCUGCUGGUGCUAUCCUAUAGGGCGCCUUUGAGAUUGGAGCAGUCCCGGGAACGAGAUCUACCACAAACUCAAUCUCCCUAUCAGGUGGCAUGCCUGGAAGCUCAGCUGGGAACACAUCUCCAAAUUCCCGCACUACGGGGAUAUCCUCAAUCCUGGGGGCAUCAUCAUCACCGCUCAACACCACAGUAGCCAAGUAGGCCACACAGCCUCUACUAAUCAACUGUCUAGCUCGAGAGGAACUAAUCGUCAUCGUAAACAGCGAACUCUGGCAUCCUCGAUACGCAACCUGCGCCUGCCCCGGCUCUCUAAAUGUCACCAUUCGAUUCUUACAAUCAAUUGUGGCAUAGUACUUAGUCAACCAAUCCAUACCCAAGACAACAUCAAACUCCUCGAGUUUAUGCAAAGCUAAAAGGUCUACGGGCAUAAUCCAAUCUCCAACCCGAACAGGGCAACUGGGGCAGAACUCCCGAAUAUCUAAGGAAUGAUUGGGUACAACAACUCGUCCAGGAUGCAACAAAGAUGUCAGUGGGAUGCCAUGCAACUCGGCAAAUAGCCGGUCUAUGAAUGAAUGCGAUGCACCGGUAUCAAAUAAUGCUCGUACUCGAAUACCAUAAAGUAAAAUGAUACCUCCGACCACAUUCUCGGCUGCUGCGGCCUCCUCAGUCUGAGCCGCGUACAUGCGCCCUCUCGGGGCCUGUCGUGACACCUCCAUCUGCCGCUGGACAGGUGGCCGCCCAGCCUGGUGAGGUGCAGGAAGUGUCCCCUGGCUGGAACCCGGUGAAGCUGGUGCCGAUGCCGAUGAUGGCGCUGGCGCUGAACCCCUCGGGCAGUCCGACUGGAAGUGGCCCUCCUGGCCACACAGAAAGCACCUGCCCCGACUGCGUGAGCACUGCCGUGGAAAAUGGGGACCACCUCAGAUCACGCAGCGCGGAGCCUGGCGUCGAUCAGGUCCUCCUCGCUGGGUAGACUGGCCAUGUCCUCGCGACUGGCUCCGGCUCCUGGGAUGCCUCGGCGGCCUCCGUGAGUGCGUCUGACUCGCAACCUCAGCCGCUGUCCUCUUGCCCUUGCCCUUGUCUAGGGCCUCGUGUCGCUCCUGAAGGUCUGCCACUCCAGCCUCAACAAUGAGUGCGCGGUCCACAACCUUCCGGUAGGUUUGGAGGUUAGAGGAUUGCACCAACCGAAAGAUCGAAGGCCGCAAUCCGCGCUCAAAAAUGCGUGCCUUGUCCUCGUCAUCCCGCACCACAAAUGGUACACAGUAGAGUAGCCGAGAAAACUCCCUCUCGUACUCGGCCACAGACCUCUCCUCCUCGCGCAAGCUGCGCAAGUCCUGCUCCAUCUUCCUCUUGGCGCUGGUAAGGAAGUAGUGCGCCAGAAGCAGCUCCUUGAAUCUCGCCCAAGAGAUCACUGCCAAAUCUGUGUUGGGGUUGUCUAGGAUGCCCAACCACCAACGGUAGGCCUAGCCGUCCAAGAAGUGGGUGGCGAGCCACACUCUGUCCCUCUCCUCUACAAAGGUAUCNNNNNNNNNNNNNNNNNNNNNNNNNACGAAAUAGCUUUUUUCCAAUAUGCCAUGAGCCAGCUUCUCCACUAUCCAGUGGUCCACGGUCCACUCCCGUCAAAGGUCCGUAGACUGCACUCCUGAACAUCACUGAGACGCUCCAUAAGCCGAUCCCGCUCGCUCCUCAACCAAUCGCGGGAAAACCGCCCGCUACAGAUGCUCGCGCCGGUGGUGCCAAGAACUCCCUCCCGAGGCGGGCAAUAUCCGGUGAUGUCCGCGAGUUACCGGCCUAGAGACGGCCCCCUUCGGUGUCGCUAUCAACUACCGGUGCUGGUGUGGGGUGUGGAUCACCUGUGCCUCCCUGGCAGCGCCUGCUUGGUCCUAAUCAAAUCCUCCAGUCCCUCCAUUCCCCCUCCUGCGGCGCGCGCGCAUCCGCUGUUGUCGUGCUGCCGCGCCUGCUGUCGACUAAGUCAAUGAGGGCCGCCAGCUGGCUCCUCAACUCAACGGACCUCGCGCAGUCUGGAGUAGGCAGAGUGUCUCUAACCUCCUCAAAGUUCCGCGGCAUUGUCCGCUCGGCGAUAGACUUAGACGCGGAGUCAUCAGCAUUAUCACGACAACAUCAUAAAAGCACAUUGUAAGAACCCACGAAAUACGCAACCCGCUUCACUAAUUAAGUAACAAAAUCAUGCGAAAAAGUAAGUGACAGUGUCCUUCCACCACAUAACUUAACGUCCCGAUUUACGUUGCUCGGUGCCAGGCCACCACGUAACCCUGCCCGCCGAUAGUUAAAGCCAUACAACUCUGAUCAAACUCUAACUUAUAGAGUUACCAUCAAAGCAAUCGAAAUACUUUCCGGCUAACAAUUAAAUUUUAGAACUCGUUCUCACGAGGCGUACUUUCCUAUAGUCCACGCUUGCUUGCCGUCUGUGUUAGACAGCCUAAGUUUGUUAGGUUGUCCUCUAAGACCAACCCUAGUGCUCUGAUACCAACUAAUCUUCAUGCCCCGGACCGCAGAGGCCCUCCCAGUAGCGGUGCCAGUACCCGCCAUAUGUCAGCCACAAUAUAAGGCGUCCUACAACGAACAGCGAAAUAAACCAAAGGCUAACCUAAUUCUAGAGAGUAUCAGCAUCACAGAAGAAUCUAUAUCUAUAACAAGGUAAAAAGAGUAUAACCAGAAAAACAUAUAAAGACGAACAUAUAGGCAUACAAUAUUAAUUCCCAAAAAGUAACACAAAUGGGUGGUCUCUAGUACACGUGUACACAUCAAUCACCUCUCCAAAAUAUAAAACAUGAGAGUAACACUCUACUCGCACUCGUCCCUCACAGGAAGAGCUAGCUCGAAGAGCAACGCGCUCCCACUGUGUCCAUAGUCCUCUCCGCGUGGAAGGCUCUAAACAGAAAAGAAAAAGAUGGCGUGAGAACUAAAUUUAUAGUCCCAGUGGGCAAUUACUGCGCCAUCAGUCUCAAUGCACCAUAGGCCCUCCCAAAAGAAGAGGGUAGAGUCAAAAAGAGAGCAAUAAUAAUAAAUAAUGCAAUUAAGAAGGCAUAAUAAAAUGCUAAGAUACCACUCCUGUGUUCAAUUAAAGAUGCACUUUAAUUUCAAUAAUGAGUCAAGUAUUUUCUACAUGAGCCGCACAGUGAGCAAUUCAAAAUCGUUGAUUUAUGAAAUAUGCAGACACAAGCUCUAACUAUGUACAUCAUGAUUUACAUGAAUGCAAUAGAGCAACAUCUCCAGCAUGCUAUAUUUGAUCAUAGUGCAAUACUCAAGUGCCCACAGCUAGCUAGGAGCAUAGUCCAAGACUCCAACUACUACUCUCUAGUCUGAUAGUGACAAAAAUCCACUCAACACUGUGUCGAUUAUUCAUUUUCAAUUAAGGACCUUAACCCAAGGUAGUUCUAGCUGUGCGCCUAAGUGGCCUGUGGGUUGUUGUAGUGUUUCCACAUUCCUGCUCUUGAAUGCUGUCGUCCCACUCGAACCCCGUAGGGCUUCUCAUACGCAUGAGCGACUACAUAAGUCGACGUAGGCUAAGCUCCGGAGUGCGCGCUUUGUAGGGAGCUGACCCUCACAAGCAAUAUGCGAAUGACACAAAUGGGCAGCAAAGUAGCAAAAGGCUCCAAGUAUCCAACGCGCUCAUCUCUCAAAUAGGCAAUAGCUCACUCAGUACCGAAUCGUCUAAGCUCUAUGUCAUCAAUUGUAAUAACCCAACACCAACUCCUAGCUUAGUGCGCUCUAUACACUUAAAACGUCAACAAACUAAUCAACGACCAGAUUCAUAUUUAUGUUCCAAUAAGACAUAAAUACCAAGUUCACUAUAUGCCCGGCCAAUGCUCUCUUAAUGAAUUGGCCCAAUUUCUAAAUAUAUUUAAGUCCCCAAGCCUGCCUAAGGCUUCUAAGUCUCUAAUGUCAUAAUGGGCAUAAGAUCAAUCAUGAAAGCAAUGCUCAUUCUCAUGUACUGGGAAUUAUGGUUCCAAAGUCUCACAGAAUGAUCAAAUCUCACCAAUGAUGCACUCUAACCACGAGAGGUCCAAAAAAUUUACUAUAAAUACAUAAGCAUGUUAAGCAUCUCAAAUAUUCAUAAUAAAUAAUCUAAACAUGAUUAACGCAAUGUCUUUAAUAAUUUAACAAUACUGCAAAUCAUCCACAAAUGGAAUUUUCUCAUUGUUGGCUAGGUCAAAACCACCGAACGGUCGCGUAGUCCUUCAUUCGCCGAACGCAAGUUAUCCCACGAGUCUCAAAAUAUCCUAAAGUAAUGGCGAAGACAUACACGGCACUACGCAACUAUAGAGAUCAAUCAUUAAACCCAAUACAGGCAAAAGGCUAAAAUCUCACCUAAGGUUUGGAGAAAACGUCGUCACAAACUCCCAAAAAAAGGCUAGAACUUUCCCACGGAAACUCCAAGCAAAGAUUCUAAAUCCAAGCAAUUUACGCGCACAAAGCUCUAACAUCAAAAAUGCCACAAAUUCAACAACCUAAAAAUCCUUACUAGUUUCAUCUACUAAACCUUCCAAAUCAAAGAAAAUCUUGGAGAAAGAACACACGUUGCUUAGCCUCAAGAAGGCUUCAAUCUAGGUUUCAAAACCCUCUAGGUUCAAGAAUCUUGUCCUCAACAAUGCCCAAAUCCAAGCUCCAAGCCACCAAAAGGAAGAAGGCAGGGUGUGUGAAGUUCCAAACCUCCAAACAAGCUCCUGCCUUCUUCUUCUUCCUCUCCCUUCUCUCUUCUUCUCUCUAGAUGACAACGGAAUGGUGGAAUGAGGAGAAGAAAGAAUAUCGCAUAUCAUGCCUCUACCUAGUAUACAAAAUUAACAAAGCGUCCCUCAAAAAUCCAAUAUUGCAUCUCAUCCACGGUUCUGGACAAUUUUCACACCGGAGGAUCCGUUCUCCCUAAUGGGACCGUCCUCUCAUGGCGAACCUGAAAAGCCAUGUUCGGGAUACCGGUCUCUCCCCGCGCGGACCGUUGCCUCAUCGACUGUUGCCACACUGCUCCCACUGGGCGACCGGUCUCGAUCCUACAAGGACCAGUCCCCGAGCAGUAAAAACUCUCAGACUCGCUUCCAGAACUCAGGUUUUCGAACUUUAGAAGUCGGAAAACAUUCCACGAACCCUCCACAAGUGGGAAAAGCCGAAACACAUCCAAUCACCUAAUCUCGCACUUUGCAAAGGUCGUAUGUCACACCCGGCGCGUGACAAAUAGAUUCAUAUACUAGUAGUAAGCUUCAUUUAUCGUUCAUUGAAGGCUAACUAACAUUUGAGACAUUACUAUGUGUACUCAUUUCUUUACUGUUUAGGCAUACGUAUCAUGAUUGGUAGAUUCAUACUAUGCAGUAGCUCUUGCAUUCAUAAAUAUGAGCAUUAGGCAUGUUGUAGAGUACAUCCGCCUAUUUGUAGUACGCUCAUUAAUUGUAAUAUUGAGCAUAGUCCAUGAUUAAUGAAUACAAUGUCUAUGUCAGCAUUCAUGAUACAAGACAUAGAUACAUGUGUAUAUUUAUUACGAUGUAGUCAAGCUCUUUUCACGUACCUAUCUGAUCUAUCUUGUUGCUUAUGCCUGUUUGACGCUAGUGGAAGACUCGGCGACGGUCAGGCCGAACCCACGGGAACUUAUUUAUAUAGUUUCUCGACCCACUUGUUGCAUGGGCUUAGCGAGAGAGCAUCAGGUUCAAAACCCUCUAGGUUCCAAGAUCUUUCCUCAACAAUGCCCCAAAUCCAAGCUCCAAGCCACCAAAAGGAAGAAGGGAGGGUGUGGGUGAAGUUCCAAACCUCCAACAAGCUCUCUCCUUCUUCUUCUUCCUCUCCUUCUUCUUCUUCUCUCUCUAGGAGCAAAGGGAAUGGUGGAAUGAGGGAGAAGAGAAGAGGAAGUAGCCAUAUAUGCCCUCUAGUGUAACAAAAUUCAAAGCGGCCCCUCAAAAAUCCAA